UGGUGUAAUUGGAAACAUAUCCGGUUGGAAAUCGGGAGGUCCGGAGUUCAAAUCUCGG
RNAcentral lists this transfer RNA (58 nucleotides) under Stegodyphus mimosarum. It matches the Rfam family "tRNA", at positions 8 to 63 of the family's 71-position model. Rfam says of the family: Transfer RNA (tRNA) molecules are approximately 80 nucleotides in length. Their secondary structure includes four short double-helical elements and three loops (D, anti-codon, and T loops). Further hydrogen bonds mediate the characteristic L-shaped molecular structure. tRNAs have two regions of fundamental functional importance: the anti-codon, which is responsible for specific mRNA codon recognition, and the 3' end, to which the tRNAs corresponding amino acid is attached (by aminoacyl-tRNA synthetases). tRNAs cope with the degeneracy of the genetic code in two manners: having more than one tRNA (with a specific anti-codon) for a particular amino acid; and 'wobble' base-pairing, i.e. permitting non-standard base-pairing at the 3rd anti-codon position. The record is from Rfam by way of RNAcentral. Lineage: Eukaryota; Metazoa; Arthropoda; Arachnida; Araneae; Eresidae.